Molecule: ribosomal RNA, 621 nt
Filed under: Gammaproteobacteria bacterium
Lineage: Bacteria; Pseudomonadati; Pseudomonadota; Gammaproteobacteria
Description: partial 23S ribosomal RNA
Rfam family: Bacterial large subunit ribosomal RNA
Source: RNAcentral
AGCGAAAUUCCUUGUCGGGUAAGUUCCGACCUGCACGAAUGGCGUAACGACUUGGGCACUGUCUCAACCAGGGACUCGGCGAAAUUGCAAUGUGAGUAAAGAUGCUCACUACUCGCGACAGGACGGAAAGACCCCGGGACCUUUACUGCAGCUUGACAUUGGAGUCUGGUAUGUCAUGUGCAGGAUAGGUGGGAGGCUUUGAAGCGGCGGCGCUAGCUGUCGUGGAGCCAACCUUGAAAUACCACCCUUGCCAUAUUGGGCUUCUAACUUCGAUCCGUUAUCCGGAUCAGGGACAGUGUCUGGCGGGCAGUUUCACUGGGGCGGUGGCCUCCUAAAAAGUAACGGAGGCGCCCAAAGGUUCCCUCAGCCUGGUUGGCAAUCAGGCGUCGAGUGCAAUGGCACAAGGGAGCUUGACUGCGAGACCUACAAGUCGAGCAGGUGCGAAAGCAGGGCAUAGUGAUCCGGCGGUUGCGUGUGGAAGCGCCGUGGCUCAUCGGCUAAAAGGUACUCCGGGGAUAACAGGCUGAUACCGCCCAAGAGUUCAUAUCGACGGCGGUGUUUGGCACCUCGAUGUCGGCUCAUCACAUCCUGGGGCUGAAGCCGGUCCCAAGGGUACGGCUG